UACAGAGGUUGCGAGCGUUAAUCGGAAUGACUGGGCGUAAAGGGCGCGUAGGUGGAUGUGUGUGUUGGAUGUGAAAGCCCCGGGCUUAACCUGGGAAUUGCAUACAAAACUGCACAUCUAGAGUAGAGCAGAGGUAAGUGGAAUUUCCGGAGUAGCGGUGAAAUGCGUAGAUACCGGAAGGAACACCAGUGGCGAAGGCGACUUACUGGGCUCAAACUGACACUGAGGCGCGAAAGCGUGGGGAGCGAACAGG
RNAcentral lists this ribosomal RNA (253 nucleotides) under uncultured prokaryote. Its description in RNAcentral is "partial 16S ribosomal RNA". It matches the Rfam family "Bacterial small subunit ribosomal RNA", at positions 524 to 776 of the family's 1533-position model. The record is from RNAcentral.